This 471-nucleotide ribosomal RNA is filed under the name uncultured bacterium. RNAcentral describes it as "bacterial SSU rRNA". It matches the Rfam family "Bacterial small subunit ribosomal RNA", at positions 8 to 480 of the family's 1533-position model. The record is from RNAcentral.
AGAGUUUGAUCAUGGCUCAGAUUCAACGCUGGCGGUAUGCUUAACACAUGCAAGUCGAACGCGAAAGCACCUUCGGGUGUAAGCAGAGUGGCGGACGGGUGAGUAAGGCAUGGGAAUCUGCCCUAUAGCGGGGGAUAACUUGGGGAAACCCAAGCUAAUACCGCAUACACCUACGGGUAAAAGAUGGCCUCUUCUUGAAAGCUAUUACUAUAGGAUGAGCCCAUGUAAGAUUAGCUAGUUGGUAGGGUAAAAGCCUACCAAGGCUACGAUCUUUAGCUGGUCUGAGAGGACGAUCAGCCACACUGGGACUGAGACACGGCCCAGACUCCUACGGGAGGCAGCAGUGGGGAAUAUUGGACAAUGGGGGCAACCCUGAUCCAGCAAUACCGCGUGUGUGAAGAAGGCCUGCGGGUUGUAAAGCACUUUUAUCUGUGAGGAAGGGUUUAAUGUUAAUACCAUUAGACAUUGACG